GGGCCCAUUGGAACAGGUGUUCCACGUUAUCUCCAAAAUAACAAUCGGGGUUCGAGUCCCCAUGGGUCCACCA
Molecule: transfer RNA, 73 nt
Filed under: Candidatus Berkelbacteria bacterium
Lineage: Bacteria; Candidatus Berkelbacteria
Description: tRNA-Trp
Source: RNAcentral